AUGUUGGUGCGUGCGAGGGCCUACCGGAGGUGGCACAGGACUUCGGGGAGGGGGCAGGGGUGCCCCUUCGUUGCAUCGGGCGGUUGCUCUAUGUGGCUGCCGGAGUUCCCCUGGCCCAGAUCUGGCCGCCGAGGCCACCAACCCUGCCAAGGUGUCCACUAUGGGGUGGAAGGCGGGUCUUUUGCCCCUUCCCGGUGGACCGCGUCAGUAUAUGGUUUAUCCGUGGACGACGGUUCGGUCACCAUGGCCGUGUGGGCGGCAUGGUGGUCGGGGUGUGUCGUUCAAUGGAGGGGGUGCGGUAGUUCAUACCCCAAUUUGGCGACGGUGAGUGUUGGCCAGGGAAAAACCCGAUCUGACUUGUCAAGCCGACGGCGGCGGUGUUCUAUCGUCGUCCCCUUCUUGAAAGCGUCGUCGCGGUAUCUCACUUGCCGCUGUGGUGCUCUGGGGAAACCCUAA
Molecule: ribosomal RNA, 456 nt
Filed under: Triticum aestivum (bread wheat)
Lineage: Eukaryota; Viridiplantae; Streptophyta; Magnoliopsida; Poales; Poaceae
Description: partial small subunit ribosomal RNA
Source: RNAcentral